Long non-coding RNA from Monodelphis domestica (gray short-tailed opossum), 415 nucleotides. RefSeq lists it as uncharacterized. Lineage: Eukaryota; Metazoa; Chordata; Mammalia; Didelphimorphia; Didelphidae. The record is from RefSeq and is a predicted model, not a curated record.
CUCGCGCGUCACUGACCGCGAGAGCAAACGCUAUCCUUUCCGACUGGCGGGAAUGGGAGGAAAGGUCUGAUUCCUUGGAACUGGGAGGAGUUUCGAGAUCAAACAAGUCUAAUCACAUCUGACAGCCCACAUAUUUAAAAAGAUAGAUAAUGCACUGUUUCAAGCACUGUGCUAAAAUAAAGACUAUGAAUGCAAGUACAAGCAAAACGAUAGUCCCUAUCUUUACAUGCUAAUGUGAGAAGAUGAAACAUAAAAGGAUGAAGCCUAAUGUUGAAUAUAAAGACAACUUCAAUUGAUGUUCAAUUCUUCACCUGCUAUCACCUUCUUGACAUGAGCACAGUGAAUCCAAGAUGUCUUCUCCUCAACUUUUAUAGCAGUGUGUGCUGUUAAUAAAAUUUGAUAAGGACCUUCCCAG